RNAcentral lists this ribosomal RNA (535 nucleotides) under Meyerozyma guilliermondii. RNAcentral describes it as "partial large subunit ribosomal RNA". It matches the Rfam family "Eukaryotic large subunit ribosomal RNA", at positions 107 to 658 of the family's 3401-position model. Lineage: Eukaryota; Fungi; Ascomycota; Pichiomycetes; Serinales; Debaryomycetaceae. The record is from RNAcentral.
GCUCAAAUUUGAAAUCUGGCGCCUUCGGUGUCCGAGUUGUAAUUUGAAGAUUGUAACCUUGGGGUUGGCUCUUGUCUAUGUUUCUUGGAACAGGACGUCACAGAGGGUGAGAAUCCCGUGCGAUGAGAUGCCCAAUUCUAUGUAAGGUGCUUUCGAAGAGUCGAGUUGUUUGGGAAUGCAGCUCUAAGUGGGUGGUAAAUUCCAUCUAAAGCUAAAUAUUGGCGAGAGACCGAUAGCGAACAAGUACAGUGAUGGAAAGAUGAAAAGAACUUUGAAAAGAGAGUGAAAAAGUACGUGAAAUUGUUGAAAGGGAAGGGUUUGAGAUCAGACUCGAUAUUUUGUGAGCCUUGCCUUCGUGGCGGGGUGACCCGCAGCUUAUCGGGCCAGCAUCGGUUUGGGCGGUAGGAUAAUGGCGUAGGAAUGUGACUUUACUUCGGUGAAGUGUUAUAGCCUGCGUUGAUGCUGCCUGCCUAGACCGAGGACUGCGAUUUUAUCAAGGAUGCUGGCAUAAUGAUCCCAAACCGCCCGUCUUGAA